This 1158-nucleotide ribosomal RNA is filed under the name Triticum aestivum (bread wheat). Its description in RNAcentral is "partial small subunit ribosomal RNA". Lineage: Eukaryota; Viridiplantae; Streptophyta; Magnoliopsida; Poales; Poaceae. The record is from RNAcentral.
AUGAUUUUGUUUCAUUUUGUUGUGUGGGUGGGUGAUGGGCUUGGCUUACUCGUGGUCGAUGAUCUUCUCGGGGAUGCGCUGGCCGGGGACCUUGCAGAUGCGGGGGAACUGGGUGCUCUUGAGGAUCUCGGCGACGUCGGAGUUGCGGCGGACCUCGUCGCCGUCCUUCUCGCCGGAGGCCAGGUGGCUGCACACGAAGCACACGCUGGUCUGGUGCAGCGUCAUGCUCAUGGCGAUGCAGCCCUUGUUGCCGAGGCGGCCCAUGAUGCCGCGCCCCACGGAGUCCACCCGGAGGUGGCCGAUGUUCUGCACCAGCUCCCGCCGCACCCACACCGACAGGAAGAUGCCCACCAUCUGCUUGCUCGCGAUCAGGCAGUAGUUCAUGCCGCCGCCGGCCUCGGGUCCCGCGGGCGUCAUCAUCGCCGACGAGGAGGAGGAGCAGGAUGGGUCCGGGUCGUCGGCGCUGGACGUGGAGGCCUCGACGCGGUAGAUGAAGUCCCGCAUCUCCCUGGCGCGGCGGUGCAUGGUGGAGGGGUCGGCCAUGCAGGUGCAGGUCUUGACGAGCGCGCUGUUGACGCGGUAGCUCUUGCUGAGCGCCUUGAGGGUCGGCUUCUGGAAGAGGAGCGCGCCGCUGCUGGAGGACCUGGGGAUGGACGGGCGGGCCCGGGAGGAGGAGGAGGAGGCGACGGACUCCGUCGGCGACAGCUCGUCGCCGGACGACGGCUGGUCCUGCUGCGCCUGCGCCUGCGCCUGCUGCUGGCGCUGCUGCUGCUGCUGGGGCUUGUUCAGCGCCUGGUAGAUGAGCGCCAGCCACUUGGCCGCCGGCUCGUUGUCCUCCACCACCAGCACGUUGCCCGCGUUCAGCGGCACGAUCUCCUGGAACCUGCAUGCGCCCAUAUAGAUCAUAAUUCAUAUCGAAAAAUGUGCAGCAUCGAUCAUAGUUUCAUUGAAAAUUUGCAGGGAGAUCCUGUACGUACGUACCCUAGGACGUAUAUGUCGGGUAGCCCUUCUAUCUGGAGAAAAUCCUCUAGGUUAAGGCUGCUGUUAGGGGGCCUCCCGCCCACGUUCCACGUGCCCACGAACACCCUGCAACGCAAUGCCAUCAACUUGACAAAGAUCAGCCUCUUCUUUCAGACAAAAAGUUCAGACGAAAACUGA